This 497-nucleotide ribosomal RNA is filed under the name uncultured bacterium. RNAcentral's name for it is "partial 16S ribosomal RNA". It matches the Rfam family "Bacterial small subunit ribosomal RNA", at positions 28 to 507 of the family's 1533-position model. The record is from RNAcentral.
GAUGAACGCUGGCGGCGUGCCUAAUACAUGCAAGUCGAGCGAACAGAUAAGGAGCUUGCUCCUUUGAAGUUAGCGGCGGACGGGUGAGUAACACGUGGGUAACCUACCUAUAAGACUGGGAUAACUUCGGGAAACCGGAGCUAAUACCGGAUAACAUUUAGAACCGCAUGGUUCUAAAGUGAAAGAUGGUUUUGCUAUCACUUAUAGAUGGACCCGCGCCGUAUUAGCUAGUUGGUAAGGUAACGGCUUACCAAGGCGACGAUACGUAGCCGACCUGAGAGGGUGAUCGGCCACACUGGAACUGAGACACGGUCCAGACUCCUACGGGAGGCAGCAGUAGGGAAUCUUCCGCAAUGGGCGAAAGCCUGACGGAGCAACGCCGCGUGAGUGAUGAAGGGUUUCGGCUCGUAAAACUCUGUUAUUAGGGAAAAACAAAUGUGUAAGUAACUGUGCACAUCUUGACGGUACCUAAUCAGAAAGCCACGGCUAACUACGUG